GCCAGGUGUGGUGGCUCACACCUGUAAUCCCAGCAACUUGGGAGGCUGAGGCAGGAGGAUGGUGAGUUCAAAGCCAGCCUCAG
Molecule: small RNA, 83 nt
Filed under: Marmota monax (woodchuck)
Lineage: Eukaryota; Metazoa; Chordata; Mammalia; Rodentia; Sciuridae
Source: RNAcentral